Molecule: ribosomal RNA, 468 nt
Filed under: uncultured bacterium
Lineage: Bacteria
Description: partial 16S ribosomal RNA
Rfam family: Bacterial small subunit ribosomal RNA
Source: RNAcentral
GACGAACGCUGGCGGCGUGCUUAACACAUGCAAGUCGAACGGAAAGGCCCUGCUUUUGUGGGGUGCUCGAGUGGCGAACGGGUGAGUAACACGUGAGUAACCUGCCCUUGACUUUGGGAUAACUUCAGGAAACUGGGGCUAAUACCGGAUAGGAGCUCCUGCUGCAUGGUGGGGGUUGGAAAGUUUCGGCGGUUGGGGAUGGACUCGCGGCUUAUCAGCUUGUUGGUGGGGUAGUGGCUUACCAAGGCUUUGACGGGUAGCCGGCCUGAGAGGGUGACCGGCCACAUUGGGACUGAGAUACGGCCCAGACUCCUACGGGAGGCAGCAGUGGGGAAUAUUGCACAAUGGGCGGAAGCCUGAUGCAGCAACGCCGCGUGCGGGAUGACGGCCUUCGGGGUGUAAACCGCUUUCGCCUGUGACGAAGCGUGAGUGGCGGUAAUGGGUAAAGAAGCACCGGCUAACUACGUG